Molecule: ribosomal RNA, 482 nt
Filed under: uncultured bacterium
Lineage: Bacteria
Description: partial 16S ribosomal RNA
Rfam family: Bacterial small subunit ribosomal RNA
Source: RNAcentral
GACGAACGCUGGCGGCGUGCUUAACACAUGCAAGUCGAACGAUGAAGCAGGGAAACGCCAACUUCGGUUCAAAUUUCACUUCGGAUUAGUAGCAGACGGGUGAGUAACUCGUGAGCAACCUACCUCUUACAAAGGGAUAGCUACGGGCAACCGUGAUUAAUACCAUAUGACACAUUCAUAAGGCGUCUUAAGAAUGUUAAAGCUACGACGGUAAGAGAUGGGCUCGCGUCCCAUUAGCUAGUUGGUGAGGUAACGGCCCACCAAGGGGACGAUGGGUAACCGGGCAGAGAGGGUGAACGGUCACAUUGGAACUGAGACACGGUCCAAACUCCUACGGGAGGCAGCAGUGGGGAAUAGUGCACAAUGGAGGGAACUCUGAUGCAGCGACGCCGCGUGAGCGAUGAAGGAAUUCGUUUCGUAAAGCUCUGUUCUAUGGGAAGAAAAGGACUGUACCACAGGAGAAAGCCCCGGCUAAAUACGUG